GAGCGGUAAGGCCUUUCGGGGUACACGAGCGGCGAACGGGUGAGUAACACGUGGGUGAUCUGCCCUGCACUUCGGGAUAAGCCUGGGAAACUGGGUCUAAUACCGGAUAUGACCUCAGGUUGCAUGACUUGGGGUGGAAAGAUUUAUCGGUGCAGGAUGGGCCCGCGGCCUAUCAGCUUGUUGGUGGGGUAAUGGCCUACCAAGGCGACGACGGGUAGCCGACCUGAGAGGGUGACCGGCCACACUGGGACUGAGACACGGCCCAGACUCCUACGGGAGGCAGCAGUGGGGAAUAUUGCACAAUGGGCGAAAGCCUGAUGCAGCGACGCCGCGUGAGGGAUGACGGCCUUCGGGUUGUAAACCUCUUUCAGCAGGGACGAAGCGCAAGUGACGGUACCUGCAGAAGAAGCACCGGCUAACUACGUGCCAGCAGCCGCGGUAAUACGUAGGGUGCAAGCGUUGUCCGGAAUUACUGGGCGUAAAGAGUUCGUAGGCGGUUUGUCGCGUCGUUUGUGAAAACCAGCAGCUCAACUGCUGGCUUGCAGGCGAUACGGGCAGACUUGAGUACUGCAGGGGAGACUGGAAUUCCUGGUGUAGCGGUGAAAUGCGCAGAUAUCAGGAGGAA
This 625-nucleotide ribosomal RNA is filed under the name Rhodococcus erythropolis. Its description in RNAcentral is "bacterial SSU rRNA". It matches the Rfam family "Bacterial small subunit ribosomal RNA", at positions 64 to 706 of the family's 1533-position model. Lineage: Bacteria; Bacillati; Actinomycetota; Actinomycetes; Mycobacteriales; Nocardiaceae. The record is from RNAcentral.